GUAGGUGGCGAGCGUUGUCCGGAUUUACUGGGCGUAAAGAGCGCGCAGGCGGUCGUACAAGUCGCGUGUGAAAGCCCCCGGCUCAACUGGGGAGGGUCACGCGAUACUGUUCGACUCGAAGGCAGGAGAGGGAAGUGGAAUUCCCGGUGUAGUGGUGAAAUGCGUAGAUAUCGGGAGGAACACCAGUGGCGAAGGCGACUUCCUGGCCUGUUCUUGACGCUGAGGCGCGAAAGCUAGGGUAGCAAACGGGAUUAGAUACCCCGGUAGUCCUAGCCGUAAACGAUGGACACUAGGUGUUGGUGGUAUCAACCCCGCCAGUGCCGAAGCAAACGCAUUAAGUGUCCCGCCUGGGGAGUACGGCCGCAAGGSGKA
Molecule: ribosomal RNA, 372 nt
Filed under: uncultured bacterium
Lineage: Bacteria
Description: bacterial SSU rRNA
Rfam family: Bacterial small subunit ribosomal RNA
Source: RNAcentral